This 404-nucleotide ribosomal RNA is filed under the name uncultured bacterium. RNAcentral describes it as "bacterial SSU rRNA". It matches the Rfam family "Bacterial small subunit ribosomal RNA", at positions 355 to 776 of the family's 1533-position model. The record is from RNAcentral.
UGAGGAAUAUUGGGCAAUGGAGGCAACUCUGACCCAGCCAUGCCGCGUGAGUGAAGAAGGUUUUCGGAUUGUAAAGCUCUUUCGGGUGUGACGAUGAUGACGGUAGCACCUAAAGAAGCCCCGGCUAACUUCGUGCCAGCAGCCGCGGUAAUACGAAGGGGGCAAGCGUUGUUCGGAAUUACUGGGCGUAAAGGGAGUGUAGGCGGUUAUGUAAGAUAGUGGUGAAAUCCCAGAGCUUAACUUUGGAAUUGCCAUUAUGACUAUGUGGCUAGAAUUACAGAGAGGAUAGUGGAAUACCCAGUGUAGAGGUGAAAUUCGUAGAUAUUGGGUAGAACACCAGUGGCGAAGGCGACUAUCUGGCUGUAUAUUGACGCUGAGGCUCGAAAGCAUGGGGAUCAAACAGG